GAUGAACGCUGGCGGCGUGCCUAAUACAUGCAAGUCGAGCGGACCAAAGAGAGCUUGCUCUCUGAGGUUAGCGGCGGACGGGUGAGUAACACGUGGGUAACCUGCCUGUAAGACGGGGAUAACUUCGGGAAACCGAAGCUAAUACCGGAUGAUAAAGAGAAACGCCUGUUUCUUUUUUGAAAGUCGGCCUUGUGCUGACGCUUACAGAUGGGCCCGCGGCGCAUUAGCUAGUUGGUGAGGUAACGGCUCACCAAGGCGACGAUGCGUAGCCGGCCUGAGAGGGUGAUCGGCCACACUGGGACUGGGACACGGCCCAGACUCCUACGGGAGUCAGCAGUAGGGAAUCUUCGGCAAUGGACGAAAGUCUGACCGAGCAACGCCGCGUGAGCGAUGAAGGCCUUCGGGUCGUAAAGCUCUGUUGUCAGGGAAGAACAAGUACCGGAGUAACUGCCGGUACCUUGACGGUACCUGACCAGAAAGCCACGGCUAACUACGUGCCAGCAGCCGCCGUAA
Molecule: ribosomal RNA, 513 nt
Filed under: uncultured bacterium
Lineage: Bacteria
Description: partial 16S ribosomal RNA
Rfam family: Bacterial small subunit ribosomal RNA
Source: RNAcentral